Molecule: ribosomal RNA, 369 nt
Filed under: uncultured Paracoccaceae bacterium
Lineage: Bacteria; Pseudomonadati; Pseudomonadota; Alphaproteobacteria; Rhodobacterales; Paracoccaceae
Description: bacterial SSU rRNA
Rfam family: Bacterial small subunit ribosomal RNA
Source: RNAcentral
AUCUAGCCAUGCSGCGUGAGUGACGARGGCCUWAGGGUCGUAARGCUCUUUCAGCUGUGAAGAUAAURACGGUAGCAGCAGAAGAAACCCCGGCUAACUCCGUGCCAGCAGCCGCGGUAAUACGGAGGGGGUUAGCGUUGUUCGGAAUUACUGGGCGUAAAGCGCGCGUAGGCGGACUAUUAAGUCAGAGGUGAAAUCCCGGGGCUCAACCCCGGAACUGCCUUUGAUACUGGUAGUCUUGAGUUCGAGAGAGGUGAGUGGAAUUCCGAGUGUAGAGGUGAAAUUCGUAGAUAUUCGGAGGAACACCAGUGGCGAAGGCSGCUCACUGGCUCGAUACUGACGCUGAGGUGCGAAAGCGUGGGGAGCAAA